This 75-nucleotide transfer RNA is filed under the name Marmota monax (woodchuck). RNAcentral's name for it is "tRNA.Ala". It matches the Rfam family "tRNA". Rfam says of the family: Transfer RNA (tRNA) molecules are approximately 80 nucleotides in length. Their secondary structure includes four short double-helical elements and three loops (D, anti-codon, and T loops). Lineage: Eukaryota; Metazoa; Chordata; Mammalia; Rodentia; Sciuridae. The record is from RNAcentral.
UUGGUUGUAGCUCAGUGGUAGAGCGCUUGCUUAGCAUGUGUGAGGCACUGGGUUUGAUCCUCAGCACCAACUAAA